GGUAGGCUUUGAGAUGAUUGAUGCAAUUGCUGAGUCGUAGGGGAUUCCUAUGAACACUGCCCAUUCCAAGCCAUUUUCGGAAAAGGGAUAGGAAAAUCUCGAAAUUGACAAUGACUGCUAAAGGAAUACCAGUAUUUUCGGCAGUUUAAGCUCUGACAGAGUGGAUGGUGUUUAGCUCCCUUAGAUUCUUGGGAGGCUUUGCAGCUGCCCUGAUUGAUGAUCCUCUGUGGGUCAUGAACACUGUCCCUAUUGAGGCCGAGUUCAACACCCUCGGUGUCAUAUAUGAACGUGGAUUGAUUGGAACCUACCAAAACUGGUUUAUGGCUGAUCCAUCUACACCUACACGACCACAAAGUGAGGACCAAAGUCAAUCGUCUACCCAACCAAGUGUAGACGAGCGACUAGGCUAAAAGACUUGACUGUUAGUCGUAAUGUUGAUCAGAAAUUGCCCAUUCAAUUUGAUAUGAGUACAGGAAAAGUUAUUGGAGACAACCGUGCAAGAUUCACUAGCUUUGUGGCCUUACUUGGUAGAAGUAUUGUUAGUAUUCUUACUUGGUAGAAACUUGGCUACACUUAAAUAGUAUAUGUACAUUAAUGUAAUAUUUGGAUUUAAUAUAUAGUUUCAUGUAUAAAUGAUGUAUUAAAUAUUAGACUAUUUAACUUUUGAAAUGAAUUCUAUUUUGUUAGUUUCAAUAAAUUUGUUUAUUUAAAGCUA
This is an RNA transcript of Vigna angularis (adzuki bean), 715 nucleotides long. It is a transcript of the gene named probable methyltransferase PMT16, with no coding region annotated. The record is from RefSeq and is a predicted model, not a curated record. NCBI's taxonomy places the organism in Eukaryota, Viridiplantae, Streptophyta, Magnoliopsida, Fabales, Fabaceae. The transcript has 3 exons.